ACCCCCCCUCUCCCCCGAAAGCGGCGGCGGCGGCCUUCCUCGCCGGCGCGCGCGUGCAUCCGUUGCUCGCGCGGACCUUGCCCGCCCAGCCCCCCCGCGUCCCUCGCGCUCGCUCGCCGGACCACCAUCCGCACCCACGAGAAGCUGCCAAAUCCGGCGCCCACCUCCACGGCGAGGCAUCUACCUUCCCCGCCUCCACCUCCGCGGCGACGGCGACGCGGCUCCGGCGCCCCGGACGCGAUGCACCAGCCACCCGCAUCCAGCCGUCGACCUGCCACUCGACGGAAGACGAGGACGGGGACGUCAUGGCCAAACCGGAGCAGCACGACGACGGAGACGUCCUCCAGCCGGGCCGCGGAAAAAAAGAUGCAAAUACAACCACACAUCUGCAACAUGCUCACGGGCUUCCCAGGAUUUUGCAUUGCCGGAUGCAAACACAACUGCACAUCUUGUUAACACCAACAGCUCGAAAUACUCCACCUCAAUCCCAACUCUUCAACCGUCAUCCGUGACCCGUGCUCGCACCUGCUGGCCAUUCUUCAGUCUGGAUGGUGUCACCUGGCUGCUCCCACCAGGCCGCAUGUGGCUGCUCCCUCCCAUCGACGAUUCGGUCUCGUGUGUGUGUGCGACCCAGCAGUUACACCUCUGCCAAUGCUGCUUGGCUGCCAAUUGACUCGCACGCGAUUCAUACCCUGAUACAAGGAAGCUGGUGUAGCUCCGGCGAUGCUGCUGCGCCAUCCGUCGCCUCCGAUAUCUGACACCAAGAUGGUGACUGGUCUUGUGAGUGGCAGCCAAAUGUAGGCGUGUAUCCUCGUAAACUACGACAUGCCUGAUUCUGCUGAUAAUUGGCAAGAUCAUAAUCACUCCUCUCUUGAUCAUUCAGUGCAGCCUAAAACUGUGAUAGGCUGAUAGCAUCCCUGACCAUUGCUCCCACCCGAUGGCCAUUCAAUCUGGUUAAUUAACUGGAUGGAACAAGCCCACUAGCCGAAUCCAAACUCCGCAACCAUCAUACCUGACCCUUCGGUCUGGUCUGGGUCCGACAAUGCUGCUGCGCCAUCCGUCGCAUCCGAUAUCUGACACCAAGAUGGCGACUAGUCUUGUGAGUGGCAGCCAAAUGUAGGCGCGUACCGUCAUAACUACAACAUGCCUGAAUCUGCUGAUACAUACUUGCAACUGCCUAAAACUGUGAUAGCACUCUUUGUUUUGCUGAUGAAGGACUACUCGAUAAUUCAUUUUGGAACAAGGGUGAUGCAGACUCUGGGAUAAUUGGCCAAGUUAGAGGAAGGGGCUUUAGACACGAGAAGACCAAGACCAAGCGUAUUGGUGGUGCUGUCCACUGUAGCUACUGCUGGCACCCACUAUGGCCUGCACCCCCUGUCUUUGACUGUGACAUCUCCUACAGCGGUGUUCUUCUUUGACCACAUGUGUUCAGGCGAAGGCUGGUAGCAUCGCAGGAAUGACUGGAUGGUGGAUGAACAGGAAGUGAAAGCAACCCUUGCUUCUGAAACCAAUUGAAUACCAGGCCUGUGUUUUGGUUGUGGACUGUUAUUUGUCACUCCACUUCUGGACUGUUGGGUGGUAGUCGACAAAGUAUCGUUGUUCUUGUGAUGCUCCAUACUGUAGCAUAUGUUUGUCUAGACUUGUGAUGGAGUUGGUUUGUGCUGUUGUACUUUUAUUGUUUAUUGUUUGGAUUGUGAUCUAGUUGUCCCCAAAACAGCGGAUGUUAUGCUGAAAUUUUCUUAGAAUUUGAAUAAUUAUAUGCCACUUUUCCCUACAAA
Molecule: non-coding RNA, 1778 nt
Organism: Lolium perenne
Lineage: Eukaryota; Viridiplantae; Streptophyta; Magnoliopsida; Poales; Poaceae
Source: RefSeq, a predicted model, not a curated record